GACGAACGCUGGCGGCGUGCUUAACACAUGCAAGUCGAACGGAAAGGCCCUGCUUUUGUGGGGUGCUCGAGUGGCGAACGGGUGAGUAACACGUGAGUAACCUGCCCUUGACUUUGGGAUAACUUCAGGAAACUGGGGCUCAUACCGGAUAGGAGCUCCUGCUGCAUGGUGGGGGUUGGAAAGUUUCGGCGGUUGGGGAUGGACUCGCGGCUUAUCAGCUUGUUGGUGGGGUAGUGGCUUACCAAGGCUUUGACGGGUAGCCGGCCUGAGAGGGUGACCGGCCACAUUGGGACUGAGAGACGGCCCAGACUCCUACGGGAGGCAGCAGUGGGGAAUAUUGCACAAUGGGCGGAAGCCUGAUGCAGCAACGCCGCGUGCGGGAUGACGGCCUUCGGGUUGUAAACCGCUUUCGCCUGUGACGAAGCGUGAGUGACGGUAAUGGGUAAAGAAGCACCGGCUAACUACGUG
This 468-nucleotide ribosomal RNA is filed under the name uncultured bacterium. RNAcentral describes it as "partial 16S ribosomal RNA". It matches the Rfam family "Bacterial small subunit ribosomal RNA", at positions 28 to 507 of the family's 1533-position model. The record is from RNAcentral.